This is a non-coding RNA of Microcebus murinus (gray mouse lemur), 715 nucleotides long. The record is from RefSeq and is a predicted model, not a curated record. Lineage: Eukaryota; Metazoa; Chordata; Mammalia; Primates; Cheirogaleidae.
AUUUGACUCAUCUUGUAAUGAUUUUACAAGAAAAAUUGAGUCACAUGUUACUUCAUUAUGGAAUCACAAUGUACAGCUUUUAAAAGUGAAAGGGCUGGGCUGGGAGCCAUAAAUCCUGGAGCUGCUUUAGAUUUUUCAUUUACCUGCCUGUGUAUCCUUUCUGCAGACCAAGUUCCCAGGACAACCUCUGUGAAUCUCUGUCCCCUGUCCCCUGGUGCAACUUAGGUGGGCUUUUUAGAAGACAGCACAGUUUUCACAGCAGUGGCAGAGCCGUUUGCUAAAUCCUCACGUUGGAUCUCAAAGGGAGAAAGUUUAAGCUCUCCUCACUAUGAGCUUUCAAGUGUGAAAGACAUUUUCUUCCACGAUGUUGAGAAGCUCUGUGGGGUAUUGAGACCAGGACAAGAGGGAAGCGGCUCAGAUGGCAGCCGAGAGAGCUCCAGCAGCUCCAGGACGGAGCGCGAUCACUCCUGCAGUGUCUGGAAGGCUGAGCGCAGGCCAGGUGGCUCCUCCACAACAGCCCUGGGACGGGGGCAGGCGGCUCCCAGCUCUCUUCCCGCAGCUGGAGCGGGGGCAUCUGCGGGCAGAUUAAGCUCUCUCUAAUUGACCGGCUGGCCGGCCGCACUCAGUGGAGAGGGACCCACUCAUCCGUCACCAGCAUCACGUGGUUCUCCCCGCACUCCACAGCGUCCUCUUGUUAUUUAAAGGGUUUUCGCCU